Molecule: ribosomal RNA, 253 nt
Filed under: uncultured bacterium
Lineage: Bacteria
Description: partial 16S ribosomal RNA
Rfam family: Bacterial small subunit ribosomal RNA
Source: RNAcentral
UACAGAGGGGGCAAGCGUUGUUCGGAAUUACUGGGCGUAAAGGGCGCGUAGGCGGCCUGCUAAGUCGAACGUGAAAUCCCCGGGCUCAACCCGGGAACUGCGUCCGAUACUGGCAGGCUUGAAUCCGGGAGAGGGAUGCGGAAUUCCAGGUGUAGCGGUGAAAUGCGUAGAUAUCAAGCGGAACACCGGUGGCGAAGGCGGCCUUCUGGACAGUGACUGACGCUGAGACGCGAAAGCGUGGGGAGCAAACAGG